RNAcentral lists this ribosomal RNA (466 nucleotides) under uncultured bacterium. RNAcentral's name for it is "bacterial SSU rRNA". It matches the Rfam family "Bacterial small subunit ribosomal RNA", at positions 338 to 795 of the family's 1533-position model. The record is from RNAcentral.
CCUANGGGUGGCAGCAGUGGGGAAUUGUUCGCAAUGGGCGCAAGCCUGACGACGCAACGCCGCGUGGAGGAUGAAGAUUUUCGGAUCGUAAACUCCUGUCGAAUGGGACGAAUGGCUCGGCCGUGAAUAACGGUCGGGAAUGACGGUACCGUGAGAGGAAGCCCCGGCUAACUCCGUGCCAGCAGCCGCGGUAAUACGGGGGGGGCAAGCGUUGUUCGGAAUUAUUGGGCGUAAAGAGCGUGUAGGCGGCUGGAUAAGUCAGAUGUGAAAUCCCUGGGCUCAACCCAGGAAGUGCAUUUGAAACUGUUCGGCUAGAGUAGGGGAGAGGGAAGUGGAAUUCCUGGUGUAGAGGUGAAAUUCGUAGAUAUCAGGAGGAACACCGGUGGCGAAGGCGACUUCCUGGCCCUAUACUGACGCUGAGACGCGAGAGCGUGGGGAGCAAACAGGAUUAGAUACCCGGNUANUC